This is a long non-coding RNA of Alligator mississippiensis (American alligator), 581 nucleotides long. RefSeq lists it as uncharacterized. NCBI's taxonomy places the organism in Eukaryota, Metazoa, Chordata, Crocodylia, Alligatoridae. The record is from RefSeq and is a predicted model, not a curated record. The transcript has 3 exons.
UUAUGAGGUUAUAUUGUAUAUGUCUGCAAAAAUCACAGAUUAGUGUGUGUCUCCUAGUCAGUCAUUGGUGCAAAUUAUCUAAUGUUCUACUCUAUUUCACACACAGAGCACUGCUAUUAUGGUUGGAUUAUGGUUGUACCAUCAAUAAAGAGCAUGAAUCCAGUCGUGGAGAAACCCCAGCUUAACCUUUCCAUAUGCUAUUGAUAUUUAUAGAGCUUCUGACAUAAUCAAUUAGCCUGAAAACUGACACGCACGCAAGGACAUUUCAUCCAUACAUUGCAGAAAAUGUGAACAUAAGCAGCUGCAAUAUGAGAUGAACUUUGAACACCAAAUAGAAAAAACCUUGGAAUCUCUUGAAUUCAUAUGAUCAAAGAUGACCACCAUGAAUGUGUCUGGAAGCAUUACCAAAUGACAGAAAUACCAGAGACAGUUAUACUGCAAAGAUUAAAAUAGACAUUUUUUUUAAAUUAUGCCUUCUAAAGAACACUGCUUUUUGACAAUCCAUUAAUUGUACGUAUUUUUAAUCAAACUCACUUUUGAAACAUUGCAUUUGACAUGAUACUUAUCAAAUGUUACUGUAG